AGUGAACGCUGGCGGUAGGCCUAACACAUGCAAGUCGAACGGCAGCACAGUAAGAGCUUGCUCUUACGGGUGGCGAGUGGCGGACGGGUGAGGAAUACAUCGGAAUCUACUUUUUCGUGGGGGAUAACGUAGGGAAACUUACGCUAAUACCGCAUACGACCUACGGGUGAAAGCAGGGGAUCUUCGGACCUUGCGCGAUUGAAUGAGCCGAUGUCGGAUUAGCUAGUUGGCGGGGUAAAGGCCCACCAAGGCGACGAUCCUUAGCUGGUCUGAGAGGAUGAUCAGCCACACUUGAACUGAGACACGGUCCAGACUCCUACGGGAGGCAGCAGUGGGGAAUAUUGGACAAUGGGCGCAAGCCUGAUCCAGCCAUACCGCGUGGGUGAAGAAGGCCUUCGGGUUGUAAAGCCCUUUUGUUGGGAAAGAAAAGCAGCAGGUUAAUACCCCGCUGUUCUGACGGUACCCAAAGAAUAAGCACCGGCUAACUUCGUG
This 492-nucleotide ribosomal RNA is filed under the name uncultured bacterium. Its description in RNAcentral is "partial 16S ribosomal RNA". It matches the Rfam family "Bacterial small subunit ribosomal RNA", at positions 29 to 507 of the family's 1533-position model. The record is from RNAcentral.